RNAcentral lists this transfer RNA (71 nucleotides) under Camelus bactrianus (Bactrian camel). It matches the Rfam family "tRNA". Rfam says of the family: Transfer RNA (tRNA) molecules are approximately 80 nucleotides in length. The record is from Rfam by way of RNAcentral. Lineage: Eukaryota; Metazoa; Chordata; Mammalia; Artiodactyla; Camelidae. RNAcentral also lists the same sequence under 2 other names.
GAGGUAAUAGCUCAGUGGUAGAGCAUGUGCUUAGCAUGCACGUGGUCCUGGCUUCAAUCCCCAGUACCUCC